AAUGCCUAGGAAUCUGCCUGGUAGUGGGGGAUAACGUUCGGAAACGGACGCUAAUACCGCAUACGUCCUACGGGAGGAAGCAGGGGACCUUCGGGCCUUGCGCUAUCAGAUGAGCCUAGGUCGGAUUAGCUAGUUGGUGAGGUAAUGGCUCACCAAGGCGACGAUCCGUAACUGGUCUGAGAGGAUGAUCAGUCACACUGGAACUGAGACACGGUCCAGACUCCUACGGGAGGCAGCAGUGGGGAAUAUUGGACAAUGGGCGAAAGCCUGAUCCAGCCAUGCCGCGUGUGUGAAGAAGGUCUUCGGAUUGUAAAGCACUUUAAGUUGGGAGGAAGGGUUGUAGAUUAAUACUCUGCAAUUUUGACGUUACCGACAGAAUAAGCACCGGCUAACUCUGUGCCAGCAGCCGCGGUAAUACAGAGGGUGCAAGCGUUAAUCGGAAUUACUGGGCGUAAAGCGCGCGUAGGUGGUUUGUUAAGUUGGAUGUGAAAUCCCCGGGCUCAACCUGGGAACUGCAUUCAAAACUGACUGACUAGAGUAUGGUAGAGGGUGGUGGAAUUUCCUGUGUAGCGGUGAAAUGCGUAGAUAUAGGAAGG
This 596-nucleotide ribosomal RNA is filed under the name uncultured bacterium. Its description in RNAcentral is "bacterial SSU rRNA". It matches the Rfam family "Bacterial small subunit ribosomal RNA", at positions 112 to 704 of the family's 1533-position model. The record is from RNAcentral.